AUGCAAGGCAUUGAAGUUGCCUCAAGAGAAAAACAAAGAGCAAAUGAAAGCACUCGUAUACUGUCAGGGAUUGAGAUCACCGAGGGCUCAAUAGCUGUAGCAAGCCUCCAUCAGCUGACUGGGCUGAGAAAACUUGCCAUUUACAAGCUCAAAGUACAGAAGGGUAGUCAGACCUCCACACAGUUGCGCUCCUCUAUUGAGCAUCUCUGCAGUUGCGGCCUGCAGACUCUCGUUAUCAAUGAUGAGGGUUCUGAUUUUAUCAACACACUGGAUUCCAUGCCCGCUCCACCAAGAUACCUCAUCGCCCUUGAGCUGUCGGGCAAGUUGGAAAGAGCUCCAGAGUGGAUCAAGAAUCUUAACAACCUCUACAAGCUAACCCUUUCCGUGACAGUUCUUCGGGCUGAUACUUUGAAGCUCCUCUGCGACCUACUUAAACUGUUCUGUCUCACCUUCUCACUCAAUGCAGCGAAGCAGCACCAGAAGGAAAUAGAGGACAUGCUUCAGGAAAAUAAAUGCCUCGGUGGUGGGGAGAUCGUUGUUCCACCUGGAGGUUUCGAGAACCUGAAGCUGCUUCGCUUCUUUGCAACUAUCGUGCCAAGGGUGACAUUUGCAGCGGAGGCAAUGCCAGCACUGGAGAGGAUCGAUAUGUGGUUCCAAGCCUUUGAAGGGGCUUACGGCAUCGACAGACUUAAAAGUAUCCAGGAGGUGCAUCUCAGCGUUGACAAUCAAGCAGAUGAAGCAACCAGAUACUUGGUUGGAUAUCUGAAGAAAAACAAACAGAAGCCAAAAAUAAUCACUGAUUGA
RNAcentral lists this ribosomal RNA (804 nucleotides) under Triticum aestivum (bread wheat). RNAcentral's name for it is "partial small subunit ribosomal RNA". The record is from RNAcentral. Lineage: Eukaryota; Viridiplantae; Streptophyta; Magnoliopsida; Poales; Poaceae.